RNAcentral lists this ribosomal RNA (484 nucleotides) under uncultured bacterium. RNAcentral's name for it is "partial 16S ribosomal RNA". It matches the Rfam family "Bacterial small subunit ribosomal RNA", at positions 30 to 507 of the family's 1533-position model. The record is from RNAcentral.
AUUGAACGCUGGCGGCAGGCCUAACACAUGCAAGUCGAGCGGAUGAAGGGAGCUUGCUCCUGGAUUCAGCGGCGGACGGGUGAGUAAUGCCUAGGAAUCUGCCUGGUAGUGGGGGAUAACGUCCGGAAACGGGCGCUAAUACCGCAUACGUCCUGAGGGAGAAAGUGGAGGAUCUUCGGACCUCACGCUAUCAGAUGAGCCUAGGUCGGAUUAGCUAGUUGGUGGGGUAAAGGCCUACCAAGGCGACGAUCCGUAACUGGUCUGAGAGGAUGAUCAGUCACACUGGAACUGAGACACGGUCCAGACUCCUACGGGAGGCAGCAGUGGGGAAUAUUGGACAAUGGGCGAAAGCCUGAUCCAGCCAUGCCGCGUGUGUGAAGAAGGUCUUCGGAUUGUAAAGCACUUUAAGUUGGGAGGAAGGGCAGUAAGUUAAUACCUUGCUGUUUUGACGUUACCAACAGAAUAAGCACCGGCUAACUUCGUG